RNAcentral lists this ribosomal RNA (486 nucleotides) under uncultured bacterium. Its description in RNAcentral is "partial 16S ribosomal RNA". It matches the Rfam family "Bacterial small subunit ribosomal RNA", at positions 30 to 507 of the family's 1533-position model. The record is from RNAcentral.
AUUGAACGCUGGCGGCAUGCCUUACACAUGCAAGUCGAACGGCAGCACGGGUGCUUGCACCUGGUGGCGAGUGGCGAACGGGUGAGUAAUACAUCGGAACAUGUCCUGUAGUGGGGAAUAGCCCGGCGAAAGCCGGAUUAAUACCGCAUACGAUCUACGGAUGAAAGCGGGGGACCUUCGGGCCUCGCGCUAUAGGGUUGGCCGAUGGCUGAUUAGCUAGUUGGUGGGGUAAAGGCCUACCAAGGCGACGAUCAGUAGCUGGUCUGAGAGGACGACCAGCCACACUGGGACUGAGACACGGCCCAGACUCCUACGGGAGGCAGCAGUGGGGAAUUUUGGACAAUGGGCGAAAGCCUGAUCCAGCAAUGCCACGUGUGUGAAGAAGGCCUUCGGGUUGUAAAGCACUUUUGUCCGGAAAGAAAUCCUUGGCCCUAAUACGGUCGGGGGAUGACGGUACCGGAAGAAUAAGCACCGGCUAACUACGUG